RNAcentral lists this long non-coding RNA (703 nucleotides) under Phaseolus vulgaris (common bean). Its description in RNAcentral is "long non-coding RNA (PVUL_LNC003538)". The record is from RNAcentral. Lineage: Eukaryota; Viridiplantae; Streptophyta; Magnoliopsida; Fabales; Fabaceae.
AUACUAAAUCAUAUCUAGUAGUGGUGAGGGGGAGGUGGUGAUGCAUAGACAUAGUGUGGUGGAGGUGGAGAGGGAUACUUAGGUGGAGGUGGAGGUGACUUGUAAUAGUAAGCUGGGGGAGGAGGAGAAGGGUACUUGUAUGGUGGAGGUGGAGGAGAUGGGUACUUGUAAGGAGGAGGAGGAGAUUUGUACUUGUAAACAGGUGGUGGAGGAGAUGGGUACUUGUAUGGUGGAGGUGGAGGAGAUGGGUACUUGUAAGGAGGAGGAGGAGAUUUGUACUUGUAAACAGGUGGUGGAGGAGAUGGAUACUUGUAUGGAGGGGGUGGAGGAGAAGGGUAUUUGUAGGGAGGUGGUGGUGACUUGUACUUGUAGACUGGAGGUGGUGGUGAUUUGUACUUGUAGACUGGAGGUGGUGGUGACUUGUACUUGUACACUGGUGGUGGGGGUGAUGGAUAUUUGUAAGGCUUCUUAGGAGGUGGUGGUGGUGACUUGUACUUGUAAACCGGAGGUGGUGGUGACUUGUACUUAUAAACUGGUGGUGGUGGAGAAGGGUAUUUGUAAGGCUUCUUAGGAGGUGGUGGAGGAGAUGAGUACUUAUAGGGUGGAGGUGGUGACUUAUUCUUGUAAAUUGGUGGUGGAGAAGAAGGGUACUUGUAUGGUGGUGAAGGAUGGUGAUAAGGAUGCUUGGGAGGUGAGUACUCUU